RNAcentral lists this transfer RNA (63 nucleotides) under Dipodomys ordii (Ord's kangaroo rat). It matches the Rfam family "tRNA". Rfam says of the family: Transfer RNA (tRNA) molecules are approximately 80 nucleotides in length. The record is from Rfam by way of RNAcentral. Lineage: Eukaryota; Metazoa; Chordata; Mammalia; Rodentia; Heteromyidae.
GGGAAUGUGGCUUAGUGGUAGAGUGCUUGCCUCGCAUGCAUGAGGCCUUGGCUUCCAUUCCUC